UAUCUCUGUAGAGUCUGCAUAUCAAUAAGCGGAGGAAAAGAAACUAACAAGGAUUCCCUUAGUAACGGCGAGUGAAGCGGGAAGAGCUCAAAUUUGAAAUCUUCAAGGUUCUACCUUGACGAAUUGUAGUUUAAAGAAGUGUUUUCUGUUAGAUGAGUAGCAAAAGUUCCUUGGAAUGGGACAUCAUAGAGGGUGAGAAUCCCGUAUUUGGUUAUUCAUUCUAGCUUUGUGAUACACUUUCAAAGAGUCGGAUUGUUUGGGAAUGCAGUCCAAAAUGGGUGGUAAAUUUCAUCUAAAGCUAAAUAUUGGCGAGAGACCGAUAGCGAACAAGUACCGUGAGGGAAAGAUGAAAAGAACUUUGAAGAGAGAGUUAAACAGUACGUGAAAUUGUCAAAAGGGAAGCGUUUGACACCAGUGUUGUUUUUCCGAAAAUCAAUUACGAAUGGCUUGAUUUUGUGUUGUAUUGACCUUAUCAGCUUUCUGCACUUUUUUCGAGUCCUUUCUUAAUGCACUUUUCGGUUAACAAGUCAACAUCAAUUUCUUUUGUUGUAAAAGAGUAUUCGGAAGGUGGCUUUCUUUUCGGAGAAAGUGUUUAUAGCCCUAUACUUCUACAAUCGGAGAGAUUGAGGUCUGCAGCGUAGAUCCUUCGGGGUUAGAUACACUUGUGCUAAGUUGUAGCUUUUCAUAGACAACUUGUUGACUAUGUUUAGUCAUGCGGCUUACUCGCUUGUGCUAUUUUACCUACGCUUAGGAUGUUGACUGAUAUGUAGUCGUA
This 775-nucleotide ribosomal RNA is filed under the name uncultured Neocallimastigales. RNAcentral's name for it is "partial large subunit ribosomal RNA". It matches the Rfam family "Eukaryotic large subunit ribosomal RNA", at positions 24 to 644 of the family's 3401-position model. The record is from RNAcentral. Lineage: Eukaryota; Fungi; Neocallimastigomycota; Neocallimastigomycetes; Neocallimastigales.